RNAcentral lists this ribosomal RNA (399 nucleotides) under uncultured bacterium. Its description in RNAcentral is "bacterial SSU rRNA". It matches the Rfam family "Bacterial small subunit ribosomal RNA", at positions 975 to 1375 of the family's 1533-position model. The record is from RNAcentral.
CAGCCCUUGACAUGCCAAGCUACCUGCAGAGAUGCAGGGUUCCCUUCGGGGACUUGGACACAGGUGCUGCAUGGCUGUCGUCAGCUCGUGUCGUGAGAUGUUGGGUUAAGUCCCGCAACGAGCGCAACCCUCGCCCUUAGUUGCCAGCAUUUAGUUGGGCACUCUAAGGGGACUGCCGGUGAUAAGCCGAGAGGAAGGUGGGGAUGACGUCAAGUCCUCAUGGCCCUUACGGGCUGGGCUACACACGUGCUACAAUGGUGGUGACAGUGGGCAGCGAGACAGCGAUGUCGAGCUAAUCUCCAAAAGCCACCUCAGUUCGGAUUGCACUCUACAACUCGAGUGCAUGAAGUUGGAAUCGCUAGUAAUCGCGGAUCAGCAUGCCGCGGUGAAUACGUUCCC